CGGGUGAGUAACACGUGGAUAACUUACCUAUAAGACUGGGAUAACUUCGGGAAACCGGAGCUAAUACCGGAUAAUAUAUUGAACCGCAUGGUUCAAUAGUGAAAGACGGUUUUGCUGUCACUUAUAGAUGGAUCCGCGCCGCAUUAGCUAGUUGGUAAGGUAACGGCUUACCAAGCAACGAUGCGUAGCCGACCUGAGAGGGUGAUCGGCCACACUGGAACUGAGACACGGUCCAGACUCCUACGGGAGGCAGCAGCU
This 258-nucleotide ribosomal RNA is filed under the name uncultured Staphylococcus sp. RNAcentral describes it as "partial 16S ribosomal RNA". It matches the Rfam family "Bacterial small subunit ribosomal RNA", at positions 103 to 355 of the family's 1533-position model. The record is from RNAcentral. Lineage: Bacteria; Bacillati; Bacillota; Bacilli; Caryophanales; Staphylococcaceae.